Molecule: ribosomal RNA, 506 nt
Filed under: uncultured bacterium
Lineage: Bacteria
Description: partial 16S ribosomal RNA
Rfam family: Bacterial small subunit ribosomal RNA
Source: RNAcentral
AGUGAACGCUGGCGGUAGGCCUAACACAUGCAAGUCGAACGGCAGCACAGGAGAGCUUGCUCUCUGGGUGGCGAGUGGCGGACGGGUGAGGAAUACAUCGGAAUCUACUCUGGCGUGGGGGAUAACGUAGGGAAACUUACGCUAAUACCGCAUACGACCUAAGGGUGAAAGCAGGGGACCUUCGGGCCUGUCGCGACUGAAUGAGCCGAUGUCGGAUUAGCUAGUUGGCGGGGUAAAGGCCCACCAAGGCGACGAUCCGGAGCUGGUCUGAGAGGAUGAUCAGCCACACUGGAACUGAGACACGGUCCAGACUCCUACGGGAGGCAGCAGUGGGGAAUAUUGGACAAUGGGCGCAAGCCUGAUCCAGCCAUACCGCGUGGGUGAAGAAGGCCUUCGGGUUGUAAAGCCCUUUUGUUGGGAAAGAAAUCCAGCUGGCUAAUACCCGGUUGGGAUGACGGUACCCAAAGAAUAAGCACCGGCUAACUUCGUGCCAGCCGCCGCGGUAA